This 73-nucleotide transfer RNA is filed under the name Crotalus adamanteus (eastern diamondback rattlesnake). RNAcentral's name for it is "tRNA-Asn". The record is from RNAcentral. Lineage: Eukaryota; Metazoa; Chordata; Lepidosauria; Squamata; Viperidae.
UAGGUUGAAGUCCGAUGGUUUGGACGGCUAGCUGUUAAUUAGUUUUUUGUGGGAUCAAGGCCCAUCAACCUAG